RNAcentral lists this ribosomal RNA (492 nucleotides) under uncultured bacterium. RNAcentral describes it as "partial 16S ribosomal RNA". It matches the Rfam family "Bacterial small subunit ribosomal RNA", at positions 29 to 507 of the family's 1533-position model. The record is from RNAcentral.
AGUGAACGCUGGCGGUAGGCCUAACACAUGCAAGUCGAACGGCAGCACAGUAAGAGCUUGCUCUUACGGGUGGCGAGUGGCGGACGGGUGAGGAAUACAUCGGAAUCUACUUUUUCGUGGGGGAUAACGUAGGGAAACUUACGCUAAUACCGCAUACGACCUACGGGUGAAAGCAGGGGAUCUUCGGACCUUGCGCGAUCGAAUGAGCCGAUGUCGGAUUAGCGAGUUGGCGGGGUAAAGGCCCACCAAGGCGACGAUCCGUAGCUGGUCUGAGAGGAUGAUCAGCCACACUGGAACUGAGACACGGUCCAGACUGCUACGGGAGGCAGCAGUGGGGAAUAUUGGACAAUGGGCGCAAGCCUGAUCCAGCCAUACCGCGUGGGUGAAGAAGGCCUUCGGGUUGUAAAGCCCUUUUGUUGGGAAAGAAAAGCAGCAGGUUAAUACCCCGCUGUUCUGACGGUACCCAAAGAAUAAGCACCGGCUAACUUCGUG